Molecule: ribosomal RNA, 401 nt
Filed under: Astronotus ocellatus (oscar)
Lineage: Eukaryota; Metazoa; Chordata; Actinopteri; Cichliformes; Cichlidae
Description: partial 16S ribosomal RNA
Rfam family: Bacterial large subunit ribosomal RNA
Source: RNAcentral
UUUUAAAUGAAGACCCGUAUGAAUGGCAAACAAGGGCUUAACUGUCUCCUUUCUCCCGUCAAUGAAAUUGAUCUUCCCGUGCAGAAGCGGGAAUACACCCAUAAGACGAGAAGACCCUAUGGAGCUUCAGGCACNCNGAACAGACUUGNNNNUCAAGCANCCUACACNNNAAANAGACAAACUUUAGACCCUGCUCCACAUGCCUUUGGUUGGGGCNACCACGGNGAAACAAAAAACCCCCUGCAGACUGGGAGCACNAACCCNNCUCCUACAACCCAGAGUUACACUCUAAGAACAGAACCUCUGACUANNAAAGAUNCCGGCUAUUCAAGCCGAUCAACGGACCGAGUUACCCUAGGGAUAACAGCGCAAUCCCCUUCUAGAGCCCAUAUCGACAAGGG